GCGGGGCGCGCGCCACCCGCGGGGCGACCGCGCGGGGCCGGGGCCGGGACGCGGCCGGGUGCACGCCGCCCUGCCCGCCGCUGCCGGGACAAUGGCGGGGUCCUCGGUGGCAUCCUCGGCGGCCCCGGGCUCGGGUCCCCGCGCGGCAGGGCCAGGGCCGGGCGCACGCUUGGGCGCAGGGACUCAGCCUCCACGCGCGAGCGUCCCCACCGGGCCCGCGAUGGCGCGACAUCGCCACCAACUUUCCCGGCUCCCGCGGCCCGGCUCCGCCGCGGGCUCCUUAAGGUGGCACAGGGCUGCCCGGGCUCCGGGGCGCACUCCUUCCCCGCCGCCGCGCCCGCGCGCCAGUCCUCCUUAAGAGCGAGCACGUGGGCAGGGGCCGCGGCCCCGCGACUGCCCCGGGCGUCGGCGGACACGCGCCGCGGCGGCCGUGGGCGAGUCCGUGUGGAUGCUCCCCGCCGGCCCGAGGCGCCUCCAUCCCGCCCGCACACCUUGGCGCCUCCCAGUCUCCGGACCCCAGGGACGCCCACGGCUAGCCGCCUGCGCGCUGGUCCCCCUUAAGAAGCGCUGACUGUACGGCGGCGCCAGAGGGCCAAACUCGAUUAGAUUUCGGGAAACGCGCUCAGGGCCAAGCUGGAAACCUGGGAUCCGCGCGCGGACCACGAAGAGCCGCGUCGCCAACAGCACCAGGUACCCUGUGCCACUCGCUAGAACGACCCCGGCGCACCCGAGGGGCGCCGUACCCGCGGCUUGGGAGGCGUCGGAGCCUCAGGAAGAAGAGGGGUCCCGGGAAGGAACCCGGCUCCGGACCCCAGGGAAGUCCGCGCCGGACCGCCCCCCCCCCCCGCCUCAAGGAGCGCGCGCGAGCCAGGAGGCGAUCGAAGCCCGGCGGAGGACGAGGAAGCUGGCCGGAAGGGCCCCAGGCCGUAGGGUAGGGGCCCCUGGGGUCUGGGCCGGACUCCUCCGGUUCUCCUCCCAAACUGCGCCGCCCCCGCCCCCACUCCGCCGUCUGGGCGCGGGAGGCCGUGGACCGCGCACCUGGCCGCGCACCACACCCCGGGCCGCCCGGACCCCGCCGCAGGCGCCGUCUGAAAACUUCUUAAAGCCUGUGCUCCGCAGAAACGAGAAGGGGAGCCGCCCGCCGCGGCACUGCGUGUCCUCAGCCUCCGCCGGCCUCGCGAGGCCGGGUCCUCACCUCGCCCACUCGGAUCCAAGGCCGGGACCGCGAGGGUCGCUGCUGAUCGCGCGCACUGCUUCUGGGCGUGCAGAGCGCCCGCCAGCAUCUAUCCUGUUUGAUUCGUCACUAUUAUUAUAUCUGAUGAUGCGAAGGCUGGAACGCUCAACCCGAAGUCAUUAAUGAGCUAUUUUAUCAACACCGCUGUGGGGAUCUUCAUUUACAUUCGCCCAGGAUCGCGGCGCUCACCUCCCGGCUCUCGUCAACAGCGCGGGUGCGGGACUUCGUCCGUCAGCGCUCUUACAACACCAUGGGCGCACUGUUAAUCGCUUAAUACUUUAUAAAGUGUAAAUAUUUUAUUAUGUUUUUAAGAGAACUAUCGAUUCUAAAUUAUUAAACCCCUGAGAAGGGUUAUUUAAAUAAAGUACGCAGUUAUGUACAAUUAAAUGUACACUGUGGCUAGAGUCUGCACUCUUAAAUCUAUCGACUUCCCUGGUCCGUUUUCGACAGUAAAAAACAUCUACCAUUCUGGGCAAAGGGCGAAAAUUAGUUUACAUUACAUUUUAAAGCCUCUUCCUUUCUCUGUGGCCUGCACUCCUAACUCAACUCGUAAUGACCACGUUGCUUGAUUUCUCCCUGUGGACACUGAGGUUUCAUGGCCCUGGCUCUGCACCCGGUGGACACUGUCUCGGAUGCCUGCCCAGGACCUCGAAGGACUGGCGUGGGAUCGAAGGGCCCAGCACGGACACCCGGCCUGGGAAGGCCCAGCGAAUCCCCAGCUCCACAGCUCCCAGUGCUGUCACCGCCUGCUGCCUGCCAACAGCCCCGCCUGCCAGCUCGGCCAUCUCUGCACUUUGUCACCGAGUCAGAGUAUUUGACAUCCGCAAUUAUCUGCAAAUGCCCC
RNAcentral lists this long non-coding RNA (2078 nucleotides) under Heterocephalus glaber (naked mole-rat). RNAcentral's name for it is "lncRNA (ENSHGLG00000047087.1)". The record is from RNAcentral. Lineage: Eukaryota; Metazoa; Chordata; Mammalia; Rodentia; Bathyergidae.